Odocoileus virginianus texanus is the source of this 4266-nucleotide non-coding RNA. The record is from RefSeq and is a predicted model, not a curated record. NCBI's taxonomy places the organism in Eukaryota, Metazoa, Chordata, Mammalia, Artiodactyla, Cervidae.
AGCCUGGCGUGCUGCAGUCAUGAGAUCGAAAAGAGUGGGACAGGACUGAAUGACUGAACUGAACUGUACUUAUUCAGGUGAUACUAAGCUCUUCCCAGACCAGCUGGUUCCUACCAUCACCUAACACUUAGGGACCUAAAACUUCAUAAUCCAAUGGAAACAAAUGAGAAAGUGCAGACCUUUAGAAAUGGGUCCUUAAAAUCCAUUAUUUUACAGAGUUAUUUUACAGAGCUAUUUACAGAGUUAUUCAUCUUCUAAUGACAUUUCUACAUAUUUUAGCAUUCUCAUGCUUCGCACUUUCUAUUCCUUCCAAAAUCCCCAACCUUUUUUCUUGGUUUUAACUCUUAUACCAACUCCUUUUAGGUCAGAAUCACUUGUAAUAAGUGUACUUAAAAAACAUCAUUCCUUUCAGAGCAUUUCGUUGGUAGAUACCUACUUAAGCAUUAUUUUAAUAAAUUUAUUGGGUUUACCUGCUUAUCUCACUUAAAGAACUGAGUUCUGAGUGACAUGAGAUAAAUGCAAAACACGACAACAAAAAAUCAGGUAAGAUGGAGUAAGAAAGUGCUUAAAAUUAAACUACAUAUUUAUUUUACAAAGCAUCUUUUUUGUGCUAGUUCCCACAGACUUGUCUCUAACUUUUCAAUUAACUGGUAGAGGUGGUACUUAUAAAGAUCUCCCAUUCCCCAGGGCUCCAGAAUUUUAAAAUGUAUCACUUCUCUCUCUUCCUUUAUAUAGCUUUUCUUGGCUCAGACAGACCAUGGCAAAAUAAUUACUAAUAAAAUAUAAGACCAAAUUACAGUCAUGUAUAUGACAAACUUAUAAAGGGAUAAAAUGUUAGUGAUAGUUGGGAGCUUAAGAAUAAUCUAGUACCACUCCCAUUUUUUAUAGAUGAGGAAAUUGGGGCUAAUUAUGUCAUUUGAUUUAGUAGAUCAUAUAUUGAAUUAUUUGAAGAACCAAUACCAGAUUCCAGGUCUCCUACCUUCCAUUCAAGUCCUAAUUUCUCUUUCCUUCAUUCCCUCAUUCUUCCCUGGAAUUUUAAAUUGAACAGGAAGAGAUGUUGAAAGUAUUGUGCUCUUGUUGCUCUCUCCAAGUAAUUUAAAAAAUUAAAAUGUUCUUAUUUUCUUAGGUAUUUACACCUCCCCUCCCCAUCUUUUUAAACCUGGUAAUUAAAUGCAAUGAAAUUACACCAACCUAGGUUUUCACAAGUAAUGGGAUAGUUUGUUAAUAGUGAAACCCUAGUAUUCAUAUCAGAUUUUGGUUAUGAUUAGUUGCUGACAUUAUGUUAUGAUUAUAAUGGUUAUGAUUAGCUGUCAUCUGAUACUGUAGAUGACACCAGCUUUUCCAUUUGUUUCAGAAAGUAGUCCACAAGAGUGUUUCUAAGGUUUUAGAAUCACUGAUUCUAAUUGCUCUUUUUUUUGUUUUUGUUAGAGUGCCAACAUCUUGAACUUUGGAAAAGAAAAAUAAGCAUGUCUUGGUUUUUAAAAUAAUUGAUAAUUAUGGAGGUAGUUAAAAAAAAUCCCUAUUGACUAUUACAUAUUAGCACACAAAUAAUUUGUUUUUUAACAUUUCCCAUAAAGGAAGGGCAAUAUAGAAUCUCAAUGUGAUUGGUGUAAGUUAAGUUAGUUUUAUUUAUUUGCUGAAGGUCAGUUACCUAGCUUUAUAAAAUGAACUUAUUUGGUCCUGGACACCAUAUUCAUAUUGUUUUUCUCAUAACACAGAAAUAAAAUUUUAAGGCAUUCCUAUGAACACACUUUCCCAAAGCCGUUAGGAGCUGUAUGAAUCUUGAGCUCUCAGAAUUUAUUUCAUACCUUAUAUUUGAAAUUACUAAUUUUAGCCAUUAGAACAUAGGAAAUUUUAAAUAGAUUUUGCUUUCAUAGUAAAUCAUCCUUAUUCUCAUCCAUUCCCUCAGCUGAAAAAAUAUAAAAAUGAGGCCAAAUGAAUACAUUAUUGAAUUAUAAAUUUAUUUUACUUCCAGAUCUUGCAGUGAAGGUCAGGUGAUAAGAUUUUUACAAACCUUGGUAAUAUUUUAGAUUUAGAUACAGAAAUUAACAUGUAUAUUUUUCUGUAAUUGUAAAAUAGAGCCAGAAGCAGGGCUCAUGUAUAUAGAGCUAUGUUUAUUUGCAUGUAUCCUUCAAAGUAAAAUCUUAAACAGAUUUAACAUAUGUAUUUCUUGUGUGGCUGAUAAAACACAUUGGCCAUACCUGCCUACCAGGUGGAUUUGAAAUCUGAAUUUACUUUUAAAUGCAUCAUAAAUAUUUCAGUGCCACCAGGUGGUACUUGAUUUCCCAAUAAUGUAUGAUGUUUUGGCAUAUAUAUAUAUGUGUAUAUAUAUAUGAAUCUCACAGUACCCUGUAGUACCCAACCAUAUUUUCUUGAUUUACUUUCCAUUAAUAUAAGGUUGUCACCAGAUUCCACAACUCCCUUAAAUUAGGAAUGGAAUUCACAGCCAAAACCUUGGUGUCCAAUCUCAACUUUUCUUUUUAACAUUAAAACAGUGAAAUAUCAGUUAUUCCAAUGCUGUAAUGAAUCAAGCAACACUGGAAAUUAAAUCCCCAAACAGUACACCUUUAGUUUGUUCAGCAGAUAGUAAGACAUUUCACGAGCCAUCAUUACGUAGUUUCAACAGUUUCACACUGUCUACUCCUUCAGCAACCCUUUGGGAGAUAUCCUGAGAUCAUUUACUGGGUAAGUGCAUGGAUCUUCUAAAAAACGUUUGUAAUAUUUCAUAGUUUGACCAUGGAGACACUCCAGUAAAGGAAACAAACUUUAACAAAGAAAUAAAUAGGUUAAGGACUGAAGUAAUCUGGGAGGUGGCACGGUGCCAUAGCUUCGCAUAAAAGCUGUCGUUCUUCCUCACUUCCUUCCCAAGGGCCGCGAGUUACUUUGUUAUUUAAAGUCUCCGAAUUAAGACUGCUACUGAAGAACAACCCAGAAGUACAAAAUAUCACGAAAUCUUUUCAAGUGGCAAUUUACAGGGGGCUUUCUGAAUCCUAUCGUAUAGAGAUCAAACAAAUCGUUAACAGUUAAUGGCCUACCUACAAUCGCUCUUGCUACAACCCGGACCUGUCUGUCCGAGGACGGAACACCGCAGGAAUCUCGCCUUAGCAACAGCAAAUGAGCGCCCCUUUCGGAGAGCCGUUCAGCAUCACCUAGACCUGGGGACUUUAGAAUUAGCGGGCAAAUCGAGGUGACUUCCGGGUCCUCUCUUCCCCAUCGCUAUCUGAUGGGACUGGACAAGAGGCCCCAAGGCUUCCAGUCGGUAGCUUUUUGCUCGCGACCCGCCCCGCUCCGCAAUCCUGUAAAGGAGGCUUUGGUCGCCUACUGAGCCCGGGUCGAUCUUCGUCCUCGUCAUUGUCUGGUCCUCCAGCUCCAGAUUUUCCCUCAGGGCCCGACGCCUGAAGUGGGGACUUACAGGGGGGUCCUUCAAGGUCAGUGGGGCGAUCGUUAUCACCUGCCUGCAACCUGAAGGCUAGCUGCCACCGCCUCCCACUCCGCCCCAGCACCUUCUGUGUGAAGAUUCACAGCACUUGGGUUUGUUCAUGGACUUGCUCACGUGCCGCUUUUCACCAGAAAACCCUGAAAAACAAACGCGGGAGUUCCACAUUCGGCUCCUACUGGAAAUCCAUGUGCCCCACCUCUCUUCAUUUUGCUUCACGAGUUGUUCUUGGUUGGACGUACAUGCAGAGGAAGUGGUGAAUGGUAACAUCCCUGCCUGGAAGGAGCCCUAAGAAGUGCCUAAACUGCUUUUCUGUUUGCUCCUCUUCCCUUCGGAGUGCCCAGUUUGGUAAGAUGUCCUGUGAGAAACUGAAGUGUGAAGGAGCUGAAAACAGGUUUUAGAGGGGAACUCUGGAUGCUGGUGGAUCAGUGAGAAAAAGCACUUAUUUUACCCCUGACCUCAGCACUAAAGAGAUACCCUUUCACCACUGUUGCAAAUUCAUGCUUCCAAGAACUGUUGCCCUCUGCAGACCCAUCUUCUGGAAGAAAACCUCAAUUGCCAAGGAUAAACACAUUUUUGAUCGUCUUCCUUUUUUAUAAGUCUGUGGAAAUUUAAUAUGUGAACAUUCUUUGCAUAAUUUUAUGGGCUCUAACAUUCAGAUGGAGACUAGCAUUAUUAUUUUUUUUACUGUAAGAAGAAAAUCUGCACUGUAUCUUCUGUUUAGGAGAUGGGACUUAAUCACUGUCAUCUUUUGUACUUAGUGGUGCUGCCAAGGCAGUGUGGUCAGAAUAAGGAUGGAAUUUCAAAUAAAAGAAACUUGGGAGACAUGA